UACGAAGGGGGCUAGCGUUGCUCGGAAUUACUGGGCGUAAAGGGCUCGUAGGCGGCCAACUAAGUCGGACGUGAAAUCCCUCGGCUUAACCGGGGAACUGCGUCCGAUACUGGAUGGCUUGAGUUCGGGAGAGGGAUGCGGAAUUCCAGGUGUAGCGGUGAAAUGCGUAGAUAUCUGGAGGAACACCGGUGGCGAAGGCGGCAUCCUGGACCGACACUGACGCUGAGGAGCGAAAGCCAGGGGAGCAAACGGG
This 253-nucleotide ribosomal RNA is filed under the name uncultured bacterium. RNAcentral describes it as "partial 16S ribosomal RNA". It matches the Rfam family "Bacterial small subunit ribosomal RNA", at positions 524 to 776 of the family's 1533-position model. The record is from RNAcentral.